GGAGGAAUAUUGGUCAAUGGGGGAAACCCUGAACCAGCAACGCCGCGUGAAGGAAGAAGGCCCUCGGGUUGUAAACUUCUUUUGUGGGGGACGAAGAAAGUGACGGUACCCCAAGAAUAAGCUCCGGCAAACUACGUGCCAGCAGCCGCGGUAAUACGUAGGGAGCAAGCGUUGUCCGGAAUCACUGGGCGUAAAGGGCGCGUAGGCGGUCUAUUAAGUUGCAUGUGAAAUACCAGGGCUCAACCUUGGGGUGUCAUGCAAAACUGGUGGACUUGAGUGCAGUAGAGGGAAGCGGAAUUCCUGGUGUAGCGGUGAAAUGCGUAGAGAUCAGGAGGAACACCGGUGGCGAAGGCGGCUUUCUGGGCUGUAACUGACGCUGAGGCGCGAAAGCGUGGGGAGCGAACAGG
This 407-nucleotide ribosomal RNA is filed under the name uncultured prokaryote. RNAcentral's name for it is "bacterial SSU rRNA". It matches the Rfam family "Bacterial small subunit ribosomal RNA", at positions 355 to 776 of the family's 1533-position model. The record is from RNAcentral. RNAcentral also lists the same sequence under 1 other name.